Molecule: ribosomal RNA, 497 nt
Filed under: uncultured bacterium
Lineage: Bacteria
Description: partial 16S ribosomal RNA
Rfam family: Bacterial small subunit ribosomal RNA
Source: RNAcentral
GAUGAACGCUGGCGGCGUGCCUAAUACAUGCAAGUCGAGCGAACAGACGAGGAGCUUGCUCCUCUGACGUUAGCGGCGGACGGGUGAGUAACACGUGGAUAACCUACCUAUAAGACUGGGAUAACUUCGGGAAACCGGAGCUAAUACCGGAUAAUAUAUUGAACCGCAUGGUUCAAUAGUGAAAGACGGUUUUGCUGUCACUUAUAGAUGGAUCCGCGCCGCAUUAGCUAGUUGGUAAGGUAACGGCUUACCAAGGCAACGAUGCGUAACCGACCUGAGAGGGUGAUCGGCCACACUGGAACUGAGACACGGUCCAGACUCCUACGGGAGGCAGCAGUAGGGAAUCUUCCGCAAUGGGCGAAAGCCUGACGGAGCAACGCCGCGUGAGUUAUGAAGGUCUUCGGAUCGUAAAACUCUGUUAUUAGGGAAGAACAAAUGUGUAAGUAACUAUGCACGUCUUGACGGUACCUAAUCAGAAAGCCACGGCUAACUACGUG